This is a non-coding RNA of Callithrix jacchus (white-tufted-ear marmoset), 970 nucleotides long. Lineage: Eukaryota; Metazoa; Chordata; Mammalia; Primates; Cebidae. The record is from RefSeq and is a predicted model, not a curated record.
CCCAAGUGCUGGAUUACAGGCGUGAGCCACCGCGCCCAGCUAGGAGCGCCUCUUUUCCUUCCGCACCCCACUGAAGAUCCUGGUGUCGCUAUGGGCCGCCGCCCCGCCCGUUGUUGCCAGUAUUGUCAGAACAAUCCGUCCCCAAAGUCCCGCUUCUGCCAAGGGUCCCUGGUAAGUAGUGGAAGAGCUGCUGCACUAGCUUGGCCCUACUGACCCAGCAUCCGUCUGCGACACCCCCUGCACACGUACCCAAUCCUUUUUUAGAUGCCAAGAUUCGCAUCUUUGACCUGGGGCAGAAGAAAGCAAAAGUGGAUGAGUUUCCCCUCUGUGGCCACAUGGUAUUGAUGAAUAUGAGCAGCUCUCCUCUGAAGGUAAGGCCGGAUUCUCUGAAUCACCCCCCAGUUGUCCUCCUGCUCCCUCAGCCCCAUUUGCAUGCACUGCACUGGUAUUGGGAGUUUGAGCCUUUUCACAAAACUCAACCAACACAUUUCUCCCAAGCUGGAGAUGGUCACGGUGGAUGUUUCUCUACUGUCUUCUCUGGCUUUGCUGCUUUCCUUCACCUCUACCUGGCCCUGGAGGCUGCCCAGAUUUGUGCCAAUAAGUACAUGUUGAAAAGUUGUGGCAAAGAUGGCUUUCAUAUCUGAGUGCGGCUCCAUCCCUUCCACGUCGUCUGCAUUAACAAGGUGUUGUCCUGUGCUGGGGCUGACAGGUGAGCUUGGUUUGGGGCUUUUGAAGGCAGUUAUCCGAUAACUUGGAGUCUCUACAUUAUUAGGCUUGCAUUAAUUUGUCAGAGCAUAAAGGUGGCCCCAGUGACUCAGCCACCAUGGCUGACUACUAGAAAAGCCAGGACACAGCUGGCAAGUGACUUCAGUGGUCACUCAGUAGGACUACUUCCUGUGGACUGUUGCGGAUACAAGCAGGAAAGCAUGAGUAAGUCUUAGCAACCUCUUAGUCACAGGUGAAGGGAAGC